Molecule: unclassified non-coding RNA, 331 nt
Filed under: Hevea brasiliensis (rubber tree)
Lineage: Eukaryota; Viridiplantae; Streptophyta; Magnoliopsida; Malpighiales; Euphorbiaceae
Source: RNAcentral
AAUGAGGUUAGUAAACAAUGAAACACUAACCACUCUAACCGUCCUUACAUCUUCAAAUAAAUUACCCUUUCAGGUCGACAAAUGCCCAUUCCCUCCGAGGAGGGGGCGAAGGCAUACACGGACUUCAUGUUCUUCUGGUCCUACACGAUAUUUGGGGACAAUAAUUUCAAGCAUUGUGCCUGUCUCAUCGCGGUAUGCUUCCAGUUCAGCAUCUUCAGGAAUGCGGUUUGGAAGGGGAAUUUCCCUAAUAAAUUCCCCUGGAGGGCAGUGCUCUGGUGUUGGAUCUGUUAGCUUAAAUGUCCUAUCAUGUCUCUUAAUAAAUGGCAUGCAU